Molecule: ribosomal RNA, 118 nt
Organism: Pteropus vampyrus (large flying fox)
Lineage: Eukaryota; Metazoa; Chordata; Mammalia; Chiroptera; Pteropodidae
Source: Ensembl
GUCUAUGACCAGGCCACCCUGAGCAAGCCAGAUUCCAUCUGAUCUCAAAAGCUAAGCAGGGCCGGGCCUACUUAGUACUUGGAUGGGAGACUACCUAGGAAGAUCAGGUGCGUAGGCA